Molecule: ribosomal RNA, 497 nt
Filed under: uncultured bacterium
Lineage: Bacteria
Description: partial 16S ribosomal RNA
Rfam family: Bacterial small subunit ribosomal RNA
Source: RNAcentral
GAUGAACGCUGGCGGCGUGCCUAAUACAUGCAAGUCGAGCGAACAGACGAGGAGCUUGCUUCUCUGACGUUAGCGGCGGACGGGUGAGUAACACGUGGAUAACCUACCUAUAAGACUGGGAUAACUUCGGGAAACCGGAGCUAAUACCGGAUAAUAUUUUGAACCGCAUGGUUCAAUAGUGAAAGACGGUCUUGCUGUCACUUAUAGAUGGAUCCGCGCUGCAUUAGCUAGUUGGUAAGGUAACGGCUUACCAAGGCAACGAUGCAUAGCCGACCUGAGAGGGGGAUCGGCCACACUGGAACUGAGACACGGUCCAGACUCCUACGGGAGGCAGCAGUAGGGAAUCUUCCGCAAUGGGCGAAAGCCUGACGGAGCAACGCCGAGUGAGUGAUGAAGGUCUUCGGAUCGUAAAACUCUGUUAUUAGGGAAGAACAGAUGUGUAAGUAACUGUGCACAUAUUGACGGUACCUAAUCAGAAAGCCACGGCUAACUACGUG